RNAcentral lists this ribosomal RNA (490 nucleotides) under uncultured bacterium. RNAcentral describes it as "partial 16S ribosomal RNA". It matches the Rfam family "Bacterial small subunit ribosomal RNA", at positions 30 to 507 of the family's 1533-position model. The record is from RNAcentral.
AUUGAACGCUGGCGGCAUGCUUUACACAUGCAAGUCGGACGGCAGCACAGAGAAGCUUGCUUCUUGGGUGGCGAGUGGCGAACGGGUGAGUAAUAUAUCGGAACGUACCGAGUAAUGGGGGAUAACUAAUUGAAAGAUUAGCUAAUACCGCAUAUUCUCUGAGGAGGAAAGCAGGGGACCUUCGGGCCUUGCGUUAUUCGAGCGGCCGAUAUCUGAUUAGCUAGUUGGUGGGGUAAAGGCCUACCAAGGCGACGAUCAGUAGCGGGUCUGAGAGGAUGAUCCGCCACACUGGGACUGAGACACGGCCCAGACUCCUACGGGAGGCAGCAGUGGGGAAUUUUGGACAAUGGGCGCAAGCCUGAUCCAGCCAUGCCGCGUGUCUGAAGAAGGCCUUCGGGUUGUAAAGGACUUUUGUCAGGGAAGAAAAGGCUGUUGCUAAUAUCAAUAGCUGAUGACGGUACCUGAAGAAUAAGCACCGGCUAACUACGUG